GAGGUUUGCAUAAAAGGAAUAGAGUAGGGGCCCAAAAACCAGUAAGAUGAGAAAAUAGUGUUUCCUCAGUUCUAGGAUCCAGGGGAAAAAAAAAAAGAAAUAAAAGAGAAAAUACUGUUUCCUGCCACUUAAGAGGAAGGACUCACAUAUCCUACCUUCCAUCAGCCUUGAAGGAGACAAGUGCCCUCUCUCUCACACCCGGUGGCCUUCCCUUCCCCUUUCCCAGAGCCUCCAAGAAGGCCCCUGGCCUGGCCUGAUGCCCACCAUCAGCAGCAAUAGGCACCAAAACCUUUCUCCUUCCUAUCCCUCCCCACCUCCCGAAAGGGCUGGGGACAGCAGGUGUGUCCUUGUUAGUUCCAUCCAGCUCAGCUUUGGCUGGGGAGCUAAUUUCACUGGAGCCAGGCUAAGCAUUAGGGUAAGU
This 421-nucleotide long non-coding RNA is filed under the name Homo sapiens (human). RNAcentral's name for it is "HSALNT0243904". The record is from RNAcentral. Lineage: Eukaryota; Metazoa; Chordata; Mammalia; Primates; Hominidae.